This 4800-nucleotide long non-coding RNA is filed under the name Homo sapiens (human). Its description in RNAcentral is "HSALNT0123342". The record is from RNAcentral. Lineage: Eukaryota; Metazoa; Chordata; Mammalia; Primates; Hominidae.
GUAGUGACAUAAUUACACGAUAAGACAAGCCGCCUGGUCUCGCUGUCACUUGGCAGGGCGACCGGAUUACAAUCCCAGCCAGCAUGAACAUGGGGCGGCGCGCAGUCCUGAAGGGGGAAGCCGGGCUGUGCCGGCCUGGCUCUGCCGGCCUGGCUCUGCAUGCUGGGAGCUGUAGUCUCUUCACCGCUCCCGCCCGUUGUUUCAAGCGCUUCGGGACUGCAAUCCCAGCAUGCCCCGGUCUCAGGGGCGGGGCGCAGUUCUUGCGGGAGGAGCGGGGCGGUGCGCUCCUGGCCACGCAGGCUGGAAACUGUAGCUCUUAACGGUUCCCCGCCCGUUGGUGGCAAGGCGGCUGGACUAGAAUCCUAGCAGGCGAUAUGCGAGAAGGCGGGCAGCCCAAGAGGGUUGGGCAGGGCAGUGUGGAUCUCGCCGCUUCCACAGCGAUGCUGGCUACUGAUUUCGGACACCUCCUUGCCAUGGGAUGGAAAUUAAUGUUAUGACUGGAUAAGACAAUUGUGAAGAAACUGCACUUCGAGGUUGUCUGUCUCCGUAUUCCGAUGGAAAAGGCUGGACUUUAGAAGCAUUGCUCGCUCCUUCAGUUUCUAACAAGAGUUUUACAGUUUCUGAUUAAAUACCAAUGGGAUAUCACCUCCCAUCUCUUAGGAUGGCUGUUAUAAAAAGGACAAGAGAUAACAAGUGUUGGUGAUGGUGUGGAGAGAAGGGAACCUUUGUACACUGCUGGUUAAAAUGAAAUGAAAUCAGCAUCUGAUAGAGAUAUCUUCACUCCCCUCUUCUCCGUGCCCCACCACAGCAUUGCUCCCAACAGCCAAGCCAUGGGAUGAAGUUACUGUGCAUUGAUGGAUGAGUGGAGAAAAGAAAAUGUGGGGGAGGUGUUUGUGCAUGUAUGUGUGUGUGUGUAUAAUAUAUAAUAAUAUAAUAUUUUUCAGCUUUUAAGAAGUUGAAGAUACUGCCAUUUGUGAUAACAUAAAUGAAUCUGGAGGAUAUUAAGCUAAGUAAAAUAACUUAGGGAGAGAGAAAAAUACUGCAUAAUUUCUGUUACAUAUGAAAUCUUUAAAAAGGUUUAAUACAUAGAGACAUGAUAGAGUGAUGAUUUGGGGGAUAAGAGACACAAGUCAACGUUUCAGUUAUAUAAAAUAAAUGAAUCUAGAGGACUAAAGUACAAUUUAAAGGUUAUAGUUACUAUUUUUAUAUUAUAUACUAGUGAUUUUUGAACAGGGUAAACUUUAGGUGCUUUGACACCAAAAGGAAACUACAUGAGUUCAUGUAUAUGUUAAAUUGUUUGACCGCAGUCAUCAUUGAUAUGUAUAUGUAUAUAUAUAUAAUUAUGGGCUCAUUAAAUUUAAAUGCUAUAAAUAGGUAACAAAGAAUAAAGUUAAUUGAAAAACUGCAUCAUUAGACUUGAUUUUGCCUACAUGAAAAACUGAAACUGCCUCCUAAAUAUUAAUAUUUGUACAUCGCAUAAAGUUUAUAUGUUGGAAAUAUGUUUAAAGAAAAGGAAUUAUAAAUUUUAAUAAACACAGAAUGACACAGUAAAUGCAAAACAGUAGAAAGAGAUGAAAAUCUGAUUAAUCAGAGUGGUUAAUGCUUAGAUAUAAUUAAUGAUGUGUUAGGAGCAAUUUCAAGCCACUUCCACAUAGAUUUAAUACCAAAGAGUUUAUGUGUACACAGAGAUUAAAUAAAAAAAUACAUUUACAAUGAUAUUAAUUGAUAUUAAAAUGAUUAUGAAAUCAACUGUCUGCUAUAGAAAAAAUAGAGCAUUAAGUAACUAGCAGUAAGUUUGAAACUUUGUUAGAAAGUUAAUCAAGUGAAAAAGUGAUCAGCAUUUUUGAGCACUAAAUAGAGGAUGGACAAAAUUUUCUUUUCUUUCUUUCUUUUUUUUUUUUUUUUGAGAUCGAGUCUGUCUCUGUCGCCCAGGCUGGAGUACAGCGGCGCAAUCUUGAUCUCGGCUCACUGCAAGCUCUGCCUCCCGGGUUCACGCCAUUCUCCUGCAUUAGCCUCCUGAGUACCUGGGACUGCAGGCGCCCACAGCCAUCCCUGGCUAAUUUUUUGUAUUUUUAGUGGAGACGGGGUUUCACCGUGUUAGUCAAGAUGGUCACGAUCUCCUGAGCUCAUGAUCCACCUGCCUCAGCCUCUUAAAGUGCUGGGAUUACAGGCGUGAGCCACCGCACCUGGCCUAUAAUUUUCCAAUACCAAGAAAAUCAUUUGAUAUUGCAAGAUUUUAAACCUAAAUUAGUGUCUUUAACUUCACAAAGGUAGAAAUCCUAUAAGUAAUGUUUCUUGAACACUUUAAAAUGACAAUAAAAACUAAAGUGUAACCAACAAGUAACAUGUAGCCACAUGCAAAUUUCCUUUUAGAUUGUUUUAUUAUUUUUUUAACUUUAUGUGAAUUUUUAUUUUACUAGGUUUUUGGGGAACAGGUGGUGUUUGGUUAGAGGGAUAAGUUUUUAGUGGUGAUCUCUGAGAUGUUGGUGCAGUGUACACUGUACCCAAUGGGUAGCCUUUGAUCCCUAAGAUUGUUUUAAAUGACAUCUAGAUUAAAUAGAACAUUCAAACUGACAUUACUUUUACAGCACCAGAGAAAUGCUAAGGAGGAAGCUUUGUGACUGAAACCAAAAGACCUGAAUUUAUAUAUUUAAUUUUACUAAUUAACAUUCUUAAUUUUAUAGAAAAACAGCAAUUCUGCCCACAUGCAGGAGUUAUGCAUUAAAGUGGAGCAUGAUCACUUCAGACAUUUGUCCAAAACAUAAAAAUUCUUCCAAGUAUUAAGAAAAUAUUUAUACUUCACAGAUAUUGUUAGUGUAUAAUACAUGGGCAUUGAGAUGUUUCAAAUGAGAAAAAUUGAAAUUUCUCAUGGGGCAUUGUUCUACACAAAAUAUUUAUGUAAAAUUUUUUACUCAUAUAUGCAUGUGGACAUUUGAUGUUUUAGCACAGAAUAACAUAUUCUCAAAGGUCAUUUAAUGUAGUAAAUUAAAAAUCUUUAAAGUUUACAAGAAUUUUAAAACUGCCCAGCAGAACUGAUAGAAAAAUAUGGGAGCUUCCCAGGACCAGAAGUGAAUCAAGAGGCAAAUUCACAGGAGUCAUGAAAGUGAGAAGUUAGAGCUGCCUUCAGGUACAGCUCUGAUUGCAGGGCUGAUUACACAGACCUCAAGCCUGUGAAAAUCGUCCACUCUGCCCCUUGGAAUAUACAUACAGAGAAAAUUACUAACUGGGGCAUCCCAAAUGUGAGAUCUCUAUAAUGUAAGAACCAAAUUGCAAUUAUGAAGCACACAAAAGAAGCUACCCAAAAAAGGGAAAGAAAUUAUACAUCACGUAAACUUCACAGAUUGGAAACGUAUUUAAAAUAAGUAACACAAAUAGGGAAAGAGAAUAUCAAAAUAAUUUUGAAAACACAUGAAGUUCUAAAGCGGGCACUGGGGGCAGUGGCUCAUGCCUGUACUCCCAAGCACUUUGCGGUGGCCAAAGCAGGAGGAUCACUUGAGGCCAGGAGUUUGAGAUCAGCCUGGGCAACAAAGCAAAAGUUGUCUCUACAACAAAUAGAUAUAAAAAAAUAAGCCAGGCACAGUGGUGUGUGCUUGUACUGUCAGCUACUGGGGAGGUGGAGGUGAGAGGGUCUUUUGAGACUGGGAAUUUGAGGUUGCAGUGAGCUAUGACCACCACUGAACUCAAGCCUGGGUGACAGAGAUUCUUUCUCAAACACACACACACACACACACACACACACACACACACACACACACACACACUAAACAGGCAUGUUUUGCAAAGACUCAAACAGAAAUUGAACAACUGAAACUUAAAUAAAUUUAAUAUACAGUGUAUGGUUUAAUUAUUAAACCAAGUUAAUAACAACAGGAUUAGUGAACUAGAAUACUGAGAUGAGUAAAUAAAAGAACUACAGAAAAAUGAAAUGAUCACAAUACAAAAAUGAGUAUACAUGUACAAAGAAUAAAAUGAAAUGAAAUCAAAUACAUUGGUUUCACUAGCUUACAUAUAAAUAACAAAUCACAUUAAUAACAAAUAUUUAUAAAUUUCUGAAACUGAAUAUCAGAUGGGAACCCUUGAAUGCAGAAGUGUAUUGUGAUUAAUAGUGGCCUACCAAUAAAAAAUACUCAACAGAAAUAAAAGUCAAACUGCAUAACAGCAAAGAAAAGAAAAAAUUUUAAAGCCAUAAGAGAGAAAAGAAGAGAGAACCAAUGAAGGUGAGAGCAAAGUCUUCACAGCCCGUGUUCAGUCAGAAAACAGAGAAAUAAGUAAGAGUGCUGAGAUAAGUCACUGUUCAACCAAUAAUUAGAUACUUCACUAACAUAUUUUGAAUAAGUGAGGAUGCACUACAUGAUUUCCAAAAGUAAAAAAGUGGGAAAUCUUAUUACCAAUAUGAGCUUAUUAAGAAUACACUUCAAAAAGAAAAAAAAUUUAAAAUGGAGUUCAAGGAAUCAAAAUGAAAUGCAAGAAACUGCAAACAUAUUGGGCUAUCAAAUCAUGGUGGACAAUGAACAAAAGGAUCCAUCAAGUCUUUGGCAGCAUCAGUUUCCAAAUGAUUUACAUAAAAUAAAAGUGCUAAACUCUAUACAAUGUAAUGAAAUAAAUUAUCAAAUCCUCUGAUACUUGAAUAAUUUAACUGAUGUUAGAAUCUCCUUUUCAGAUAAUUAUUUUCAUGGAAAAAAAUAUACAAUACUUCUGUCUCAUCAUUUGCAGAAUAUCAAUUAUCCUUUUUUCAGAACUUAUUAGCACCAAAGGGCUCACAGUGGCAUAGGCCCUGGUCACAAGCCUCUGGACACCCAG